RNAcentral lists this ribosomal RNA (890 nucleotides) under uncultured bacterium. Its description in RNAcentral is "bacterial SSU rRNA". It matches the Rfam family "Bacterial small subunit ribosomal RNA", at positions 1 to 916 of the family's 1533-position model. The record is from RNAcentral.
CCUUAGAGUUUGAUCCUGGCUCAGGAUGAACGCUGGCGGCGCGCCUAACACAUGCAAGUCGAACGGCACCCAUCUUCGGAUGGAAGCGAGUGGCGAACGGCUGAGUAACACGUGGAGAACCUGCCCCCUCCCCCGGGAUAGCCGCCCGAAAGGACGGGUAAUACCGGAUACCCCGGGGUGCCGCAUGGCACCCCGGCUAAAGCCCCGACGGGAGGGGAUGGCUCCGCGGCCCAUCAGGUAGACGGCGGGGUGACGGCCCACCGUGCCGACAACGGGUAGCCGGGUUGAGAGACCGACCGGCCAGAUUGGGACUGAGACACGGCCCAGACUCCUACGGGAGGCAGCAGUGGGGAAUCUUGCGCAAUGGGGGGAACCCUGACGCAGCGACGCCGCGUGCGGGACGGAGGCCUUCGGGUCGUAAACCGCUUUCAGCAGGGAAGAGUCAAGACUGUACCUGCAGAAGAAGCCCCGGCUAACUACGUGCCAGCAGCCGCGGUAAUACGUAGGGGGCGAGCGUUAUCCGGAUUCAUUGGGCGUAAAGCGCGCGUAGGCGGCCCGGCAGGCCGGGGGUCGAAGCGGGGGGCUCAACCCCCCGAAGCCCCCGGAACCUCCGCGGCUUGGGUCCGGUAGGGGAGGGUGGAACACCCGGUGUAGCGGUGGAAUGCGCAGAUAUCGGGUGGAACACCGGUGGCGAAGGCGGCCCUCUGGGCCGAGACCGACGCUGAGGCGCGAAAGCUGGGGGAGCGAACAGGAUUAGAUACCCUGGUAGUCCCAGCCGUAAACGAUGGACGCUAGGUGUGGGGGGACGAUCCCCCCGUGCCGCAGCCAACGCAUUAAGCGUCCCGCCUGGGGAGUACGGCCGCAAGGCUAAAACUCAAAGGAAUUGACGG